AGCAGGCAUCACCGGUGAGAUUAACGGUGCCGAGUCCGGAGAUCCCGUAACCGGAGUAGGAGCAAGUAGCGGUGAUGUGUCUGCACCGAGCGAGGGAGCAGGCGCCGGCGAAUCUGUGGCGAAGGUGAGUUCAAAAACUAAGAAAAAAGCAAUGGUGAGAAAUUCAAAAGUUGCCAUUUCUGCAGAUCUGAUUUUUUAAAAAUUGAUACAAGUAAAAGAAGUUUCAAAGUGGAGAUGCAGAGGAAUGAAUUUAAGAACAAAAAAGAAAAACGGGGUAGAUCUAGUGGAACGGAAAUUUAGGGGGUAAAAUAAUGUAAAAUUUUGUGUACACGUCAGACGGCACGUAAAAAGAGAAAGUGCCGAACAAAGAGAAAAAGCUUAAAUUUGAAAUACAAUUUUAAAAAUAUUAACUAACACUAACUCAAUUUUAAAAACAGAAAGUACCAAAUUUUAGACCGUAUUGAUAUGCUUGGACUUGGCUAGAAAAAUGGGUUCAAGUUUUUGUUCAAACUCAACUUAGAUAAAACUGUUAAAAUUUGGGUUUGACCCGUAUUAAAUUAUAUAUAUUUAAAAAAUAUAAUACAUUAAAAAUAUUAAAAAAUAUUUUUCAACAAAUUAAAAAUAAAAAAAAUAUUUAUAUUUAAAUAACACUAAGAUAUGUGCAACUUAAUAAAUAAAUAUAUCUGAAUAGUAGCAAAAUUAACAAUAAAAUAAGAAUUAUAUAAUAUCCAAAUAAUAACAAUAAAAUAAUAACAACAUAAUAGUAAAAUGACAACAAUACAAUAAAAAAACAAUGAAGAAAAUAACAACAAAGUAGUGGAAAAUUGCAGCAAAAUAACAAUUUUGUUUUGCAAAGUUGGGUCGAGCCUAGACUCAAAAAACCUUCCUCGAGGCCCGAUCCAUUUUCUAAAUGAGUUUUAUUUUUUUUGCUAGAACCUAUUUUUUGAGCCUAUAUUUUUACUCAAACCCUCUCACUUUUCGAGUAGCCUGUCUCAUGAACAAGUCUAACUAUACUACAUUUAGUAUUGUUUAUUUGAUGUAUUUAAAUUUCGUUAUAUUCAUAAUUUAAUCUGUUUUUAUUUUAAUAUUGUACAUAUUUCAUGUUUUAUUAUAAUUAAUUAAUUUCAAACCAUACAUUUAUUAUAUGUUAAUUUUAAAUACAUAUAUGCAUUUUAAAGGACAAAUAACCAAAAAAAGCCCUUUUUUCAAAAAUUACCGAAAUGGAUCAAUUAUUUAAUUAUUUACCGGAAUGGUCCAUUUUUCGUGAAAUCGCGUUCACGUCAGCCCGAUUUGCUUACGUGGACACAAAUCGCGCCCUCUAGGACGCGAUUUGCUGACGUGGAUGAACAGUUUCUCAUUUUUAGCUUGAAAAACUUUAAAAGGCCAUAACUUUUCGCUUGGUUGUCCGAUUGAGACGAAUUUUUUUUUGAUUUCGAAUAAAUUUUCGAGAUCUACGCGCUGACAAAUAGCCAAAGGCGGUUUGCAGAACUUUUUGUCAAAAAAUAUCCCCUUUUGCCCCUAAAUUUUGAUUUUUUCGGUUUAAAAUUAAAUUUUGAAACAUUCAAAUCAUUAUUUUCCUUAUUUAUUUAAAGUAAACACCAGAUUUUUUUUUACAGAAUUGUUGUAUUAUUUCUUCUGAUUUGACACGUGUAUGGAAUAGGUCCGAUAAAUCGUUAGAACGUAAGUAAUAUAAUUAAGAUAAUAACAAUAUUUUUAUAAUAUAUUAAUUAAUUAGUUUAGCUUAGUUGGUUAAGAUGCUUGCUCUUUUCCCUUAAUACCUUGGUUCGAAUUUUAUUGGUAACAAUUUUAAAUCUUUUUUGAAUCAAUAGCAACAAGUACAAAAAAGGAAUUAUUAUGAAAUUUGCUAUGCCAUAUCCUCUUUGCGUUCCUCAAAUGGCAGAUUGUGAUUUUCUCCAAUUUAGGAAAAGCAACCUGCAUAAUGAUAGAAAGUGCUAAUUACAAUUAGAAAUAACUUAUAUAAAAUGUUAGCUCAUCGAUGCUUAGGCAAAGGCAUCAGUAACUCAUAUAAUUAAGACAUUUAGAAUCAUUGGUUGUUUGAGAAGAACUUAAAUGAAUUUAAUAUAAAAUUAUAUUCAGUUGACUUUUCUGUACGUAACUAUUAACAUAUACACACACUACAAAUAAUGAUUUGAAUGUUUCAAAAUUUAAUUUUAAAUCGAAAAAAUCAAAAUUUAGGGACAAAAAGGGAUCUUUUUCGACGAAAAGUGCGGCAAACCACCUUUGACAGUUUGUCAGCGCGUAGAUCUCGAAAAGUUAUUCGAAAUAAAAAAAAUCGUCUCAAUCGGACAACCGAGCAAAAAGUUAUGGCCUUUCAAAGUUUUCCAAGCUAAAAAUGAGAAAUUGUUCAUCCACGUCAGCAAAAUCGCGUCCUAGAGGGCGCGAUUUGUGUCCACGUAAGCAAAUCGCGCUGACGUGGAUGCGAUUUCACGGAAAAUGGACCAUUCCGAUAAAUAAUUAAAUAAUUGGACCAUUUUGGUAAUUUUUGAAAAAUAAUGACUUUUUUUGGUCAUUUGCCCCAUUUUAAAUAUUUAGUUUAUAGAAUUUCUAAUUUUUAUCUAAACUACUUAAUAUAUAUUAGAAAUUAUAUUACACUUAUAUACAUACAAAAACUACAUAUUUAGAAUAUAUGUUAUGUUUAAAAAUAAAAAAUAAUAAAUAAUUAAGCAUAUGAUUUAAAGCUAAUUAAUAAAAAAAAUAUAAAAGUAUUUUUGUUCUCUUUAAUAUUUUGUAUAAAACUUAUAAAGUUAAUUUAAACUCAAAAUAAAUCUGGAAAAAAUAUAAACUUUAAUUUAGUAAAUCAUGGCUUUCAAAUUUUAAUUUUAGCAUUUCAAUUAAAACAAUUUUUUACUUAGUUUUUUCCACUUAAAUUUUAAUUUAAUAUGAAUAAUUAUACAAUAUCUUUGGGAGAGAUUUUAUUAGGUAAAAGGAAAAACACGAAAAUUUAAGAAGAGAUUAAAUGAACAAAAAGUUAUUGUAGUUAGUGCCAGUUAGUGUCGAGUCAACGGAUAUUAAUUAAAUUGAGUAAUUAUUAAAAGUUUUUUUUUUAUAAAGUAACAUUGGUGUUUUUAUAUUUUUAUAUAAAAUUUAUAAAAAAAAUCAUUCUAGAAAUAUUUUCUAUUUUUAAAAAUUCAAAAAUACGUUUAAUAAAUAAAAGUAAAAAAAUAUUUUUAAUAUUGAAAAAAUAUAUAUAAAAAUAAAUUAUUACAUUUAUAUGAAUUCCAGAUAAUAUAUUUGAUUUAUAUAUUUCUUUUCUUUUUUUUAAUAAAAAUACACUAGUUGGCUUUUAUUAGAAGGAGAGAAAAACAUCAGAAUCUAGCUAACAAACUUAAAUGCCCAUUAGAUACAAGAUAAAGACCUGAAAAGUUUUGUCCUCUCCUACCCUUUAACCAGAUCAGUAAACACACCCGUUCAUUCCCAAAACACAUAUAGCAGUGUGGUUAAAAUUCAGAUCCAGGAUUGAAGCUAAUGAAGCUGGUAGAACCUCUAACUCGAAUUUUACAAUUUUUAUUAAUUUUUGGUUAAUUUUCAUUUUUUUACCUUAACAUUUCUCAUAUAAAUCAUAUCUUUUUUUCUCAUAAAAAUUUAAUGUCUUUUUAUCAUUUAUUCUAAAAAUACCUAUCUCUAUUAUUUUGAUUAAAUUCUCAUAUCAUACAUUCCAAUCACUAACAUUCUAACUUAAUUUUUUAAAAUACAAAUAAAAUUAAUAUUAAAACUUACCUCUUUUAUAAAAAAAAAAUUCCCCUUUGCUUCUCUUCACUUCUCUUCCUCAACUUUAUGAUUAUUCUUCUUCUUUUUUCAAAAAAUAUUUCUUUACUUCCAUCUACUAAUUUCUUACUAUUAAGUUGAUGAACAUGCUUUUUAAAGUCUUUAUUUAAUUUUUCUUCUUUGGUGUCUAUGAAAAUUUCUAAGAAAAUUUUUAAAAGAAAUAGCGAAAUUAUAUGACAAGGGAUUAAAUUGUAAGAAAGACAAAAUUUCCUUUCCAUUUAUAAUGAUGGUGGCGUUGGAUGAAAAAGCAUAAAGAGAACUUUUAUAAUAAUUUUUUUAACAACGAUUUAAAUUAAAUAUUUAAUAAUAAAUGCGAAAGCAAUCAUGAUAAUUGCAAGAUGCUCUUGAGAAAAUUCUUCCAUUAUGCAAGCUAAACAUAUACAAAAUAAACAUAAAUUAGUUGAUAAUUUCGAAAACUAUUAAUUCUCCAAAUAAUGAAAACUAAUAUAUAUAUAUAUAUAUAUAUGCACGCGCGAUCAUUGUGAAAUCACAAUAUUUAAUUUUUAUAAUAAACUUUAUUCUUAAUAAAUAUUUGGAUCAAAUAUUUAAUAAUAAAAUUUAAUUGAUAAUUUUAAAUUAUUUUUAAUUUUUAAUUUUAAUUGAAAGCAAUUUUUUUAAAAUUUUUUUGUCUUGUAUAUGUUUUCUAAAUAGAAUAAUGUAUAUAUAAAAAACAUUUAAAAAAAUACUUGAAAUCACAUUUUGUUUUAGCUAAAGGCUAACCCAUAUGAAUAUAAAAAAAAUAGUUGAUUUCAGGAAUUGGCUUUGAGCAAAAUUACAAAUAAUUAAAUUAUAAAAAUGUAAAACCAUAGGCAAUUUAACCCACAAGUCCUACACAACUUAAAUUGAACAAUUCUACUCAUAUUCUCAUGGGCGAAUCCAUAAAUUUUUUAGCAAGGGUCGUAAUCUAAUUAUAAUUUUUCAUAGAUAAAAAUAUAAGUUUAUCAUGUAUUAAUUUAUAAUUUCAUCAUUUUUGUAGGGACUAAAUGGAAAUUAUUUUCAUUUUUAGGGGGCUAAAGUGUAAUUUUACUAUAUUAAUUUAUAAUUUCUUUAUUUAUAAGAAGAUUGAAUUGAAAAUUUUUAUUUAGGGGGAAAGUUGUAACAGUUCGUUUUCAGUAAAAUCAGAACAGUAAUUUUGGGACCACAAAUCCAAGUUAGAAAUAAAAUUUAUUUUAAUAUUAUUGCAUGGUCUUCAUUAUGAUAGGAAAGAUGUAUGAAAAUUUUUAUAAGAAAAUUUUAUUGAUUUCAUGUUUAAUUGUUAGUAAGGACCAAAUUGCAUAAAGUGCAAAAGUUGAAUUCUAGUAGCUAGAAAGAUUAAAUAGCUACAGAAUUCAAAAUUUGAGGUCUUUAUAAGGCAAAUAGACCAUUAAGAGAAGUUAGUAGAUAUUUAUGAUGAUUCAUCCAUGGAAAUUUAAGAAAAAUUAAAUGACUAAAUUGGAAAGGGGGAAAAAUAAAAGAUGAUAAUUAAUUAAAAGAUAAAAAUAUCAUCUUAUUUCAUCAUCUUCCCUAAAUUUUUCUAUGGAAACCCUAGCUAAGAGAGAGAAAUUCAAGCAAGCUUAAUUGGGUAAGUAAUCGUGUCUCGUUUUUAGUAAUUUUAUAUUUUCGAGAUCGUAAUAACCUAAUCUAGUUAAUUUGGGGAUUAAUUUGCAAAGUUAUCAAAGUAUUAAAAAAUUUUCAUGGAUGAGUAUGCUGAAAUUUAUGGUAGAAAAUGAAAAGUUGUUGAUGGAUAAACAACUUUUGUAAAGGAAAUUUUCAUGAAAUUGUGAUUUAGGGAUUAAAUUGAAAAGAUGUAAAAUUCAUGGAAAAUUUCUGAUUUUUGUGAAAUACAUGGACUGUUAUUGUUAUAUGAAAAAUUUAGUUAGGCUUGGAAUAAGGAUUAAAUUGCAUGAAUUUCAUUUUCUGAGCCUAGAGACGAAAUUAGAAUUAAUCAAAAGUAUAGGGGCAAAAAUGAUUCUUUUGCCUAAGAUGUAAAUUGAAUUGAAUUGGAUAUGAAAUGUGUUAAGUUGAUGUUAAAUUCAUUUAUAUAGAUCCGGAAAGAUCAAAUAAGGAGCUAGAUCGAGGAAAAGAAAAAGUGUCCGAUUAGUGGAUUUCUAUAUACAAGCAAGUGUCGAGGUAAGUUCGUGUAACUAAAUUGUGUAUAUUUAUAUACUUGAGUUAAAUGUUGUAUAUGU
Molecule: long non-coding RNA, 5954 nt
Filed under: Gossypium barbadense (sea-island cotton)
Lineage: Eukaryota; Viridiplantae; Streptophyta; Magnoliopsida; Malvales; Malvaceae
Description: long non-coding RNA (GBAR_LNC016006)
Source: RNAcentral